AUAUGGUAGGAGAGCGUUCUGUAAGCCUGCGAAGGUGUCUUGUGAAGGAUGCUGGAGGUAUCAGAAGUGCGAAUGCUGACAUGAGUAGCGAUAAUGCGGGUGAAAAGCCCGCACGCCGUAAGCCCAAGGUUUCCUGUUCAACGUUCAUCGGAGCAGGGUGAGUCGGCCCCUAAGGCGAGGCAGAGAUGCGUAGCUGAUGGGAAGCAGGUUAAUAUUCCUGCACCGUCGUAUGAUGCGAUGGGGGGACGGAUCGCGGAAGGUUGUCCAACUGUUGGAAUAGUUGGUUUCUGGUUCAUAGAAGGCGCUUAGGCAAAUCCGGGCGCAGGAUUCAAGGGACUGGGACGGGCACCCAUGUGGUGCGAAGCAAUCGGAAGUGGUUCCAAGAAAAGCCUCUAAGCUUCAGUCAUACGAGACCGUACCGCAAACCGACACAGGUGGGCGAGAUGAGUAUUCUAAGGCGCUUGAGAGAACUCGGGAGAAGGAACUCGGCAAAUUGGUACCGUAACUUCGGGAUAAGGUACGCCCCGGUAGCUUGACCACUUUACUGUGGAAGGGUGAAAGGGUUGCAAUAAACUGGUGGCUGCGACUGUUUAAUAAAAACACAGCACUCUGCAAACACGAAAGUGGACGUAUAGGGUGUGACGCCUGCCCGGUGCUGGAAGAUUAAAUGAUGGGGUGCAAGCUCUUGAUUGAAGUCCCAGUAAACGGCGGCCGUAACUAUAACGGUCCUAAGGUAGCGAAAUUCCUUGUCGGGUAAGUUCCGACCUGCACGAAUGGCGUAACGAUGGCCACACUGUCUCCUCCCGAGACUCAGCGAAGUUGAAAUGUUUGUGAUGAUGCAAUCUACCCGCGGCUAGACGGAAAGACCCCAUGAACCUUUACUGUAGCUUUGCAUUGGACUUUGAACCAAUCUGUGUAGGAUAGGUGGGAGGCUUUGAAGCGGGGACGCCAGUUCUCGUGGAGCCAUCCUUGAAAUACCACCCUGGUUUGUUUGAGGUUCUAACCUUGGUCCGUUAUCCGGAUCGGGGACAGUGCAUGGUAGGCAGUUUGACUGGGGCGGUCUCCUCCUAAAGUGUAACGGAGGAGUUCGAAGGUACGCUAGGUACGGUCGGACAUCGUGCUAAUAGUGCAAUGGCAUAAGCGUGCUUAACUGCGAGACCGACAAGUCGAGCAGGUACGAAAGUAGGACAUAGUGAUCCGGUGGUUCUGUAUGGAAGGGCCAUCGCUCAACGGAUAAAAGGUACUCUGGGGAUAACAGGCUGAUUCCUCCCAAGAGUUCAUAUCGACGGGGGAGUUUGGCACCUCGAUGUCGGCUCAUCACAUCCUGGGGCUGUAGCCGGUCCCAAGGGUAUGGCUGUUCGCCAUUUAAAGUGGUACGUGAGCUGGGUUUAAAACGUCGUGAGACAGUUUGGUCCCUAUCUGCCGUGGGCGUUGGAAAUUUGAAGGGGGCUGCUCCUAGUACGAGAGGACCGGAGUGGACGAACCUCUGGUGUACCGGUUGUCACGCCAGUGGCAUUGCCGGGUAGCUAAGUUCGGAAGAGAUAACCGCUGAAAGCAUCUAAGCGGGAAACUUGCCUUAAGAUGAGAUUUCCCGGAGCCUUGAGCUCCUUGAAGGGUCGUUCGAGACCAGGACGUUGAUAGGCUGGGUGUGGAAGUGCAGUAAUGCAUUAAGCUAACCAGUACUAAUUGCCCGUACGGCUUGUCCCU
RNAcentral lists this non-coding RNA (1707 nucleotides) under Massilia sp. LC238. RNAcentral's name for it is "bacterial LSU rRNA". It matches the Rfam family "Bacterial large subunit ribosomal RNA", at positions 1223 to 2925 of the family's 2925-position model. The record is from RNAcentral. Lineage: Bacteria; Pseudomonadati; Pseudomonadota; Betaproteobacteria; Burkholderiales; Oxalobacteraceae.